This 577-nucleotide ribosomal RNA is filed under the name uncultured Catenulispora sp. RNAcentral's name for it is "bacterial SSU rRNA". It matches the Rfam family "Bacterial small subunit ribosomal RNA", at positions 102 to 694 of the family's 1533-position model. The record is from RNAcentral. Lineage: Bacteria; Bacillati; Actinomycetota; Actinomycetes; Catenulisporales; Catenulisporaceae.
ACGGGUGAGUAACACGUGGGUAACCUGCCCUGCACUCUGGGAUAACUCCGGGAAACCGGGGCUAAUACCGGAUACGAGCCUGGUCCGCAUGGGCCGGGUUGGAAAGUUCUUCGGUGCAGGAUGGACCCGCGGCCUAUCAGCUUGUUGGUGGGGUAAUGGCCCACCAAGGCGAUGACGGGUAGCCGGCCUGAGAGGGCGACCGGCCACACUGGGACUGAGACACGGCCCAGACUCCUACGGGAGGCAGCAGUGGGGAAUAUUGCACAAUGGGCGAAAGCCUGAUGCAGCGACGCCGCGUGAGGGAUGACGGCCUUCGGGUUGUAAACCUCUUUCAGCAGGGACGAAGCGCAAGUGACUGUACCUGCAGAAGAAGCACCGGCUAACUACGUGCCAGCAGCCGCGGUAAUACGUAGGGUGCGAGCGUUGUCCGGAUUUAUUGGGCGUAAAGAGCUUGUAGGCGGCUCGUCACGUCGGGUGUGAAAACUCGCGGCUCAACCGCGAGCCUGCACCCGAUACGGGCGAGCUAGAGUUCGGCAGGGGAGACUGGAAUUCCUGGUGUAGCGGUGGAAUGCGCAGA